This 557-nucleotide long non-coding RNA is filed under the name Ananas comosus (pineapple). RNAcentral's name for it is "long non-coding RNA (ACOM_LNC011505)". The record is from RNAcentral. Lineage: Eukaryota; Viridiplantae; Streptophyta; Magnoliopsida; Poales; Bromeliaceae.
UAAAUAUAUAUAUAUAUAUAUAGAGAGAGAGAGAGAGAGAGAGAGAGAGAGAGGCUGUAGCUUCUAUACUAUUAUGGGUAUUGGAGUUCUCGUACUCAUAAGUUAUUUUCGAUGAUAGAGCUUCCAAAUCGAUGAUCCAUUCCGCUAAAUAUGAUCUAGAGUAUUUGAAACUUGUAGAAAAUAAAUUUCGUAAAUUUUCGAAAUCAUAAUAAAGUCCAUCAAGCGGGCGUAAAAUGAACGGUCAAAAUCGAACGACGUCCUAAAAAAGGAUGAUCGGAUCCUUCAAUUCAAGAUCGGAGUUGUUGAUCUUUAUCUAGAUAGUGAAUAGAAUUUUUUCAAAAAUUCAACAAAUUCCAAUUCUUUUACGCCGUUAAACUAGCAAGUAUCCCAUACCGGCCAUUAAAAAUUGUCAAAUUUGUGACAUCUUGAUCAUAAAGUAAAUGAUGUCGAAAGAUUAUAAAAUUUGAUUUCUAGAAGUUUUAAAUGCUGUAAAUAACGUUUAACGGUAUGGAUCAUCGAUUCGGAAGCUCUAUCAUCGAAAACGAUUUAUGAGUAUG